RNAcentral lists this ribosomal RNA (403 nucleotides) under Bacteroidota bacterium. RNAcentral's name for it is "Bacteroidetes bacterium partial 16S ribosomal RNA". It matches the Rfam family "Bacterial small subunit ribosomal RNA", at positions 355 to 776 of the family's 1533-position model. Lineage: Bacteria; Pseudomonadati; Bacteroidota. The record is from RNAcentral.
UGGGGAAUAUUGCACAAUGGGGGAAACCCUGAUGCAGCGACGCCGCGUGAACGAAGAAGGUAUUCGUAUCGUAAAGUUCUGUCCUAUGGGAAGAUAAUGACAGUACCAUAGAAGAAAGCUCCGGCUAAAUACGUGCCAGCAGCCGGGGUAAUACGUAUGGAGCGAGCGUUGUCCGGAAUUAUUGGGCGUAAAGGGUACGCAGGCGGUUUAAUAAGUCGAAUGUUAAAGAUCGGGGCUCAACCCCGUAAAGCAUUGGAAACUGAUAAACUUGAGUAGUGGAGAGGAAAGUGGAAUUCCUAGUGUAGUGGUGAAAUACGUAGAUAUUAGGAGGAAUACCAGUAGCGAAGGCGACUUUCUGGACACAAACUGACGCUGAGGUACGAAAGCGUGGGGAGCAAACAGG